RNAcentral lists this non-coding RNA (740 nucleotides) under Pselaphinae sp. 10 EF-2015. The record is from RNAcentral. Lineage: Eukaryota; Metazoa; Arthropoda; Insecta; Coleoptera; Staphylinidae.
GUAAAGUUUUAUUUUGGCUUUAUAAAUUAAUUUAUAUUUUUUAAAAGAUGUAAUUUUUAAUUAAAAAUUUAAGGAUGCAAUUUAUAGAUUUAAAAAUUAUAGAAAUAUAGAUUUAGAAAUAUAUAAUUAUAUUAACAGAAAUUGUGCCAGCAGUUGCGGUUAUACAGUUAAUAUUAUUAAUUAUUUUAUAUUUAUAAUAAUUAGUAUAAUAAAAAUAAAAUUUAAAUAAUUAGGUGAAAUUUUUAUUUAAUUUAUAUUUUUUUUAUUUUUAAUAUUUAUUAAAUUUUUUAUUAAACUAGGAUUAGAUACCCUAUUAUUUAAAAUGUAAAAAUUUAAAUAAAUUAUUAAUAGUUAGAUUCUUUAAAGUUAAAAAAUUUGGCAGUAUUAUAGUUUUUAGAGGAACCUGUUUUAUAAUUGAUAAUCCACGAUUAAUUAUACUUAAAAUAUUAGUUUGUAUAUCGUCGUUUUUAAUUUUUUUAUAAGAAUAGUAAUAUUUAAUAAUUUAUUAUAAAUUAUAUAUCAGAUCAUGAUGCAGUUUAUUUUUAAGUAAAAAUGGGUUACAUUGUUAGUUAUUUUGAAUAUUAAAUUGAAAAUUUAAUUGAAAAUGGAUUUAAAAGUAAUUUUAUUAAUUUAAAUAAAAUGAUUUUAUAUUUUAAUAUGUACAUAUUGCCCGUCGCUUUCAUUUAAAAUGAGAUAAGUCGUAACAAAGUAGUUGUACUGGAAAGUGUGGCUUGAAUAAA